CCGGUGCUGUCGGAGCAGCAGCUGGUGGACUGCGACACGCUCGACAAGGGCUGCGGCGGCGGAUGGAUGGACACGGCCUUCAAGUGGGUGAUCCAGAACGGCGGCAUCACGUCGGCGGCGGCGUACCCCUACACGGACAGGAACGGCACCUGCCAGGAGGGGAAGCCGGCGGAGGUGACGCUAAGCGGCUACAAGCGGCUGCCGCGCGGUGACGAGGCGGCGAUCAUGGAGGCGGUGGCGCGGCAGCCCGUGGCCGUGGCCUUCGACCACAACGACCCCUGCUUCCAGCACUACAUCGACGGCGUGUACGACGGCAAGUGCUUCGCGUCCGGCGUCUAUGUUGGCGGGGCAUGCGGGACGAACCAGACGCAUGGGCUCGCCCUCGUCGGGUACGGCACCAUGCCUGGCGGGACCAAGUACUGGAUCGGCAAGAACUCGUGGAGCGCCAGGUGGGGCGACAACGGCUUUGUCUACGUGCUCAGGGACUCGCCGCCCUUGGGCUUGUGCGGCCUCGCGGUGCGCCCCAGCUUCCCUAUCAUCUGAUCGAUCACCGGCCGGACCCCCGGCCGGUCGAUCGCCAUGCACCUCCGAGCCAUGCAUGAUCUGUGUGCCUCUCGAUCCAGAAUAAUGGUGUGU
This 636-nucleotide long non-coding RNA is filed under the name Setaria viridis. Its description in RNAcentral is "long non-coding RNA (SVIR_LNC009973)". Lineage: Eukaryota; Viridiplantae; Streptophyta; Magnoliopsida; Poales; Poaceae. The record is from RNAcentral.